Molecule: long non-coding RNA, 1810 nt
Organism: Pipistrellus kuhlii (Kuhl's pipistrelle)
Lineage: Eukaryota; Metazoa; Chordata; Mammalia; Chiroptera; Vespertilionidae
Exons: 2
Source: RefSeq, a predicted model, not a curated record
UUUCAGUCUACAUUUUUGUUCUUAACAGAAAAGGAUAUUGUCUAGGGAGAAUAGCUUGUGUUAAUUGAUUGUUUACUAUGACCUGGGCACUCUACACACAUUAUCAGAGUCUCAUAACAUUUCCUUAUUGGUUUUCAUUUUCAAGAUGAGGAAACCUAAGCUCAAAGGGGGAUUUGACUUGUCUAAGAUCUAAAAUCACACAGCAAGGAAUUGGUGGAGCUGGGAUUGGAACCCAGGCCUACUUGACUCCAGAGUUGUUUAACCAGAAUCACACACCUGACCCCACCAGCUGCCCACAGACUUGGACUCACCCCAGAAAGCAGUCAAGCAUUUGCCCAGUGACCUGCAAGGCAGCUCUGUUCUUCCUCCUCCACCCCCAUCCCAGGCUGGAACCCAGGGAGCAGUGAUGAGGGGGCGGGGCUGGGGAAAAGCCAUAGAGGCAGCAGAUGACUGCUCUGCUCUACUCUCCUGAUGUCUUUAGUCCCACCCCUUCAGUCUAAAGAUGAAGAAACACGGGUCAGUGGCAAAAUCAUUCUAGACUGAAGGUCUUUCCACUCCCACUCCAACCUCCUUACAUUGCUCCAUGUACCUGUUUCCUCAUUGUAAAAUGGGAAUAAUAAACAUAGUGGUACCUACUUCAUUGAAUUGGUGGUAUGUUAAAUGAGUUAAUGAUGUAUUUAUAGAUAUCAGCUCUAUAUCCUCUCAGUCCUGAGCUUGCCCUUCCUUGUAGCCCCAUGGCAGAGUGUACUGUUGGCAUUCUGCUGAUCUCUUUGAGGGGGCGGGGAGGGGCUUGAGUCAUCACCAGAGGCAGGCAGGUUCCAAUGAGGCCUGUCUUGUCUAGUGAUUGUACCCACAGCAUGUCUGGCCCAUAUUAGUCCUGCUGCUUUUUUAAAUGUGUGCACAUACAAUUACAGUGAAUAAAAUACAAAUUCACUUAAUGCUGUUACUUAGUCAUAGGUUUGUCAUAUAUCAAGUCAAUCAAUGAUUGCUAAUGGAGGUUCAGAAUGGGUUGGGGGCCACUGGGACAGGCGCCUCAAUCCUGAGCCCUUCUGCCCUGGGAGGCCGGGCUCCUCUCCUGUCCUCCAAGAUGUGCUGGCUCAGAUCAGCUCUGCUGCUCUCCCCAGCCUCGGCCUUCCCCCAGAGGGUUCCUGACAGGGAAUCGGAAUGCCCUGGAGGAGGUCAGUUCCACGUGAGAGAAUGAGGAGAGCUGCCCUCACGUCUCUGGGGCUGAAAUUUCAUCCUUCCUCCACUUGGAACCUGUCCUCACUCUGUCACCCUCUCUCCUCCAACUUCCUAGACCCAGAGCAUGUAGAGUACCACAGAUCCAUAGCCCUCAUCCAGCCCUUCACCACCCCACCCCGUAGGGAUGGGUGCAGAGGGACUUGAUUGCUUGGCUAAUUUGAACAUGGAUGGGAUGUGGAGUGGCAUAAAAGUGCUUGGAAUUUGUGCAUUAUUGGUGGGAACGUAAAAUGGUGCAGCUGCUGUGGAAAACAGUUUGGUAGUUCCCCAAAAAAUUAAAAGUAGGAUUAUUAUAUGUUCCAGCAAUUUAACUUCUGGGCAUAUACCCAAAAGAAGUAAAAGCAAGUCUUGAAGAGGUAUCUGUACACCCAUAUUUAUAACAGAAUUGUUCACAAUAACCCAAAGAAGGAAGCAACUCACGUUUUCUAUUGAUGGAUGGAUGGAUAGGCUAAAUGUGGUGUAUACAUGCAAUGGACUAUUAUUCGGCCUUAAAAAGAAAGGAAAUUCUGAGAGUUGCUACAACAUGGAUGAACCUUGAACACACUGUGCUAAGUCAAGUAAGCCAGGCACA